UGCCUAAUACAUGCAAGUAGAACGCUGAAGGAAGGAGCUUGCUUCUUCUGGAAGAGUUGCGAACGGGUGAGUAACGCGUAGGUAACCUACCUGAUAGCGGGGGAUAACUAUUGGAAACGAUAGCUAAUACCGCAUAACAGUUUAGAACACAUGUUUUAAACUUGAAAGGUGCAAAUGCAUCACUAUCAGAUGGACCUGCGUUGUAUUAGCUAGUUGGUGAGGUAAAGGCUCACCAAGGCAACGAUACAUAGCCGACCUGAGAGGGUGAUCGGCCACACUGGGACUGAGACACGGCCCAGACUCCUACGGGAGGCAGCAGUAGGGAAUCUUCGGCAAUGGGGGCAACCCUGACCGAGCAAUGCCGCGUGAGUGAAGAAGGUUUUCGGAUCGUAAAGCUCUGUUGUAAGGGAAGAACGUUGUGUAGAGUGGAAAGUUACACAAGUGACGGUACCUUACCAGAAAGGGACGGCUAACUACGUGCCAGCAGCCGCGGUAAUACGUAGGUCCCGAGCGUUGUCCGGAUUUAUUGGGCGUAAAGGGAGCGCAGGCGGUUUAAUAAGUCUGAAGUUAAAGGCUGUGGCUCAACCAUAGUUCGCUUUGGAAACUGUUAAACUUGAGUGCAGAAGGGGAGAGUGGAAUUCCAUGUGUAGCGGUGAAAUGCGUAGAUAUAUGGAGGAACACCGGUGGCGAAAGCGGCUCUCUGGUCUGUAACUGACGCUGAGGCUCGAAAGCGUGGGGAGCAAACAGGAUUAGAUACCCUGGUAGUCCACGCCGUAAACGAUGAGUGCUAGGUGUUAGGCCCUUUCCGGGGCUUAGUGCCGCAGCUAACGCAUUAAGCACUCCGCCUGGGGAGUACGACCGCAAGGUUGAAACUCAAAGGAAUUGACGGGGGCCCGCACAAGCGGUGGAGCAUGUGGUUUAAUUCGAAGCAACGCGAAGAACCUUACCAGGUCUUGACAUCCCUCUGACCGCCCUAGAGAUAGGGUUUCCCUUCGGGGCAGAGGUGACAGGUGGUGCAUGGUUGUCGUCAGCUCGUGUCGUGAGAUGUUGGGUUAAGUCCCGCAACGAGCGCAACCCUUAUUGUUAGUUGCCAUCAUUUAGUUGGGCACUCUAGCGAGACUGCCGGUAAUAAACCGGAGGAAGGUGGGGAUGACGUCAAAUCAUCAUGCCCCUUAUGACCUGGGCUACACACGUGCUACAAUGGUUGGUACAACGAGUCGCAAGCCGGUGACGGCAAGCUAAUCUCUUAAAGCCAAUCUCAGUUCGGAUUGUAGGCUGCAACUCGCCUACAUGAAGUCGGAAUCGCUAGUAAUCGCGGAUCAGCACGCCGCGG
RNAcentral lists this ribosomal RNA (1333 nucleotides) under Streptococcus sp. CB5. Its description in RNAcentral is "bacterial SSU rRNA". It matches the Rfam family "Bacterial small subunit ribosomal RNA", at positions 45 to 1362 of the family's 1533-position model. Lineage: Bacteria; Bacillati; Bacillota; Bacilli; Lactobacillales; Streptococcaceae. The record is from RNAcentral.